Molecule: ribosomal RNA, 384 nt
Filed under: Triticum aestivum (bread wheat)
Lineage: Eukaryota; Viridiplantae; Streptophyta; Magnoliopsida; Poales; Poaceae
Description: partial small subunit ribosomal RNA
Source: RNAcentral
AUGUCAAUGGCGGAGGAGCAGUACUACGGGGGCCCGCGCGGGGCGCCGCACGGGCUGCUGCUGGCGGUGGUGGUGGGGCUGGUGGUGGCGGGCCCGCUCUUCCUGGGCGACGGCGGCGAGGCGGUCACCGACGCCAUCGCCGAGCUGCUCAGCCCCGUGGGCCUGCUCCUCCUCCCCGUGGGCCUGCUCCUCCUCAUCCGCCUCCUCUCCUCCGACCGCGGCGCCGCGGCGCUCGCCGACGUGUUCGCCUUCGGCGGCUCGCCCGACGCCGUGCACCGCGUCGGGGGCUCCCCCAUCGGCGUGGCGCUCAUGCUGCUCCUCAUCCUCGCCCUCCUCUACUACCGCUCCGCGCUCUUCGGCGGCGGCGGAGACGACGACGAGUAG